GAUGAACGCUAGCGGCAGGCCUAAUACAUGCAAGUCGAGGGGCAGCAGGGUAGCAAUAUCGCUGGCGACCGGCGCACGGGUGCGUAACACGUAUAUAAUCUGCCUUUUACAGGGGGAUAGCCUUUCGAAAGAGAGAUUAAUACCCCAUAAUAGUUGACUGGGCAUCCAGUUGAUUUGAAAGUUCCGACGGUAAAAGAUGAGUAUGCGUCUGAUUAGCUAGUAGGUGAGGUAACGGCUCACCUAGGCAACGAUCAGUAGGGGAUCUGAGAGGAUUAACCCCCACACGGAUACUGAGACACGGAUCCGACUCCUACGGGAGGCAGCAGUAAGGAAUAUUGGACAAUGCCCGCAAGGGUGAUCCAGCCAUGCCGCGUGCAGGAAGAAGGCCCUAUGGGUCGUAAACUGCUUUUACACCGGAGAAAACCCCCCUACGUGUAGGGGGCUGAUAGUAUGGUGAGAAUAAGCAUCGGCUAACUUCGUGCCAGCAGCCGCGGUAAGACGAAGGAUGCAAGCGUUAUCCGGAUUCAUUGGGUUUAAAGGGAGCGUAGGUGGACUGAUAAGUCAGUGGUGAAAUCUCUUCGCUUAACGAAGAAAUUGCCAUUGAUACUGUUGGUCUUGAGUACAGUUGCUGUGGGCGGAAUAUGACAUGUAGUGGUGAAAUACAUAGAGAUGUCAUAGAACACCGAUUGCGAAGGCAGCUCACAAAGCUGUAACUGACACUGAGGCUCGAAAGUGCGGGGAUCAAACAGGAUUAGAUACCCUGGUAGUCCGCACCGUAAACGAUGAUUACUCGCUGCUAGAGGGCAACU
Molecule: ribosomal RNA, 809 nt
Filed under: uncultured bacterium
Lineage: Bacteria
Description: bacterial SSU rRNA
Rfam family: Bacterial small subunit ribosomal RNA
Source: RNAcentral